This 497-nucleotide ribosomal RNA is filed under the name uncultured bacterium. Its description in RNAcentral is "partial 16S ribosomal RNA". It matches the Rfam family "Bacterial small subunit ribosomal RNA", at positions 28 to 507 of the family's 1533-position model. The record is from RNAcentral.
GAUGAACGCUGGCGGCGUGCCUAAUACAUGCAAGUCGAGCGAACAGACGAGGAGCUUGCUCCUCUGACGUUAUCGGCGGACGGGUGAGUAACACGUGGAUAACCUACCUAUAAGACUGGGGUAACUUCGGGAAACAGGAGCUAAGACCGGAUAAUAUAUUGAACCGCAUGGUUCAAUAGUUAAAUACGGUUUUGCUUUCACUUAUAGAUGGAUCCGCGCCGCAUUAGCUAGUUGGUAAGGUAACGGCUUACCAAGGCAACGAUGCGUAGCCGACCUGAGAGGGUGAUUGGCUAGACUGGAACUGAGACACGUUCGAGACUCUUACGGGAGGAAGCAGUAGAGAAUCUUACGCAAGGGGCGAAAGCCUGAUGGAGCACCGCCGCGUGAGUGAUGAAGGUCUACGGCUCGUAGAGCUCUGUAGGUAGGGGAGAACAAAUGUGUAAGUAACUAUGCACGUAUUGACGGUACCUAAUCAGAAAGCCACGGCUAACUCCGUG